Molecule: ribosomal RNA, 406 nt
Filed under: uncultured bacterium
Lineage: Bacteria
Description: partial 16S ribosomal RNA
Rfam family: Bacterial small subunit ribosomal RNA
Source: RNAcentral
AUUGAACGCUGGCGGCAGGCCUAACACAUGCAAGUCGAGCGAGCGGCGGACGGGUGAGUACUGUCUGGGAAACUGCCUGAUGGAGGGGGGUAACUACUGGAAACGGUAGCUAAUACCGCAUACCAUCAGAUGUGCCCAGGUGGGAUUCGCUAGUAGGUGGGGUAACGGCUCACCUAGGCGACGAUCCCUAGCUGGUCUGAGAGGAUGAACAGCCACACUGGAACUGAGACACGGUCCAGACUCCUACGAGAGUCUGCAGUGGGGAAUAUUGCACAAUGGGCGCAUGCCCGAUGCAGCCAUGCCGCGUGUGUGAAGAAGGCCUUCGGGGUGUAAAGCACUUUCAGCGAGGAGGCGUUACCCGCAGAAGAAGCACCGGCUAACUCCGUGCCAGCAGACGCGGUAAUAC